RNAcentral lists this non-coding RNA (19 nucleotides) under Rattus norvegicus (Norway rat). Lineage: Eukaryota; Metazoa; Chordata; Mammalia; Rodentia; Muridae. The record is from RNAcentral.
UGGAAAACGAAAGGGUGGG